UAGGGAAUAUUGGACAAUGGGUGAGAGCCUGAUCCAGCCAUGCCGCGUGCAGGAAGAAGGCGUUAUGCGUUGUAAACUGCUUUUUGUCAGGGGAUAAAAAGACCGUGCGCGGUUAAUUGAAGGUACCUGGUGAAUAAGCCACGGCUAACUACGUGCCAGCAGCCGCGGUAAUACGUAGGUGGCAAGCGUUGUCCGGAUUUAUUGGGUUUAAAGGGUGCGUAGGUGGCCCUGUAAGUCAGUGGUGAAAUAUCUCAGCUUAACUGAGAGGGUGCCAUUGAUACUGCAGGGCUUGAGUACAGAUGAGGUAGGCGGAAUUGACGGUGUAGCGGUGAAAUGCAUAGAUAUCGUCAAGAACACCGAUAGCGAAGGCAGCUUACCAAGCUGUAACUGACACUGAGGCACGAAAGUGUGGGGAUCAAACAGGAUUAGAUACCCGCGUAGUCCCUGAGCGGGCUGGCAAGGCGCAU
This 467-nucleotide ribosomal RNA is filed under the name uncultured bacterium. RNAcentral's name for it is "bacterial SSU rRNA". It matches the Rfam family "Bacterial small subunit ribosomal RNA", at positions 355 to 825 of the family's 1533-position model. The record is from RNAcentral.